Apodemus sylvaticus (European woodmouse) is the source of this 806-nucleotide long non-coding RNA. RefSeq lists it as uncharacterized. The record is from RefSeq and is a predicted model, not a curated record. The transcript has 5 exons. NCBI's taxonomy places the organism in Eukaryota, Metazoa, Chordata, Mammalia, Rodentia, Muridae.
CCUAGCUUCGUGUGUGCAGCGCGUGGACCGACUUCAGCUCCCGCGAGGCUGGUUUCGAGGUUCUGGCAGAUCCUCUCAGAAGAUCACAGUUCCUGUGAGCAAGAACUUCCCUGUAAUCUCAACAGCAUCCAGGUUUGGUGAUUAUAUAAAGGACGGAUCCCUAGCUGGGACAGUCUCUGGAUGGCAUUUCCUUCAGUCUCUGCUCCACACAUUCUCUCCAUAUUUCCUCCUGUAAACUGGCUGCAGUGGUGCACUCUUGCAGUCCUAGACCGAAGACUUGAGGCAGCAGACUGCUGUCACCUGUGGGCAGCAUGGCAGCCUGGACCACAGAGUGGGAGGAUCCCAGAACACAAAACACACUUUACCUCAGAAGAGAAGAAACAAAGCCUUGCUCCUCCUCAUCACUGGUACGCUCGCUCCAAGUGCUGGAAGAAGCAGGUUCACACUGCGUGUCAAAGGCGCCAGAACCGUCCACAUCUGCUGCUGUAACGGCAUCUCUGAAGAACUGUACAACUUCUCCAGAACAGCCGCUAUACAAGGAGAGACCAUCAAAAACUAUGUCAAUGGAAGAUGAAGGUUUCCUCAGGUACACUCUAGCAUUCCCAAGCAGCUGAAAGUCAGGAGGCCUGCGACAAAAACACAGAGAAGAAACUGAAGGCAACUGACCCAGCAAACAUGGGCAAGACCUUACUACAGCUGUACUGCAUAACAAAUAUAAUUAAAGGAGUAAUUCAGAUGAAGAUUUUUUUCUUCCUUAAGGAAAAAAAAAAGGACAAAGUACUGUAAAAUACAUGCACAAAAAUCUA